ACCGGUUUGUCACCGGCAGUCUCCUUAGAGUGCCCAACUGAAUGCUGGCAACUAAGAACAAGGGUUGCGCUCGUUGCGGGACUUAACCCAACAUCUCACGACACGAGCUGACGACAGCCAUGCAGCACCUGUCUCCGCGCCUCUUGCGAGGACCACCCAUCUCUGGGCUUAGCACUGGAUGUCAAGGCCUGGUAAGGUUCUGCGCGUUGCGUCGAAUUAAACCACAUGCUCCACCGCCUGUGCGGGCCCCCGUCAAUUCCUUUGAGUUUCAAUCUUGCGAUCGUACUUCCCAGGUGGGAUACUUAAUGCUUUCGCUCAGACACACACUGUGUAUCGCGUAUGUCGAGUAUCCAUAGUUUAGGGCGUGGACUAC
Molecule: unclassified non-coding RNA, 373 nt
Filed under: uncultured bacterium
Lineage: Bacteria
Description: contains 16S-23S intergenic spacer region
Source: RNAcentral